This 493-nucleotide ribosomal RNA is filed under the name uncultured bacterium. Its description in RNAcentral is "partial 16S ribosomal RNA". It matches the Rfam family "Bacterial small subunit ribosomal RNA", at positions 29 to 507 of the family's 1533-position model. The record is from RNAcentral.
ACGAACGCUGGCGGCGUGCUUCACACAUGCCAGUCGAACGGUGAAGCGCCUUCCUUUUUGGUGGGUGUGGAUGAGUGGCGAACGGGUGAGUAACACGUGAGUAACCUGCCCCCUUCUUCUGGAUAACCGCAUGAAAGUGUGGCUAAUACGGGAUAUUCUGGGUCUGUCGCAUGAUGGGUCUGGGAAAGAUAUUGUUUCGGUGGGGGAUGGGCUCGCGGCCUAUCAGCUUGUUGGUGGGGUGAUGGCCUACCAAGGCGGUGACGGGUAGCCGGCCUGAGAGGGUGGACGGUCACACUGGGACUGAGACACGGCCCAGACUCCUACGGGAGGCAGCAGUGGGGAAUAUUGCACAAUGGGCGCAAGCCUGAUGCAGCGACGCCGCGUGAGGGAUGGAGGCCUUCGGGUUGUGAACCUCUUUCGCCAGUGAAGCAGGCCUGCCUCGUUUGUGGGUGGGUUGACGGUAGCUGGAUAAGAAGCGCCGGCUAACUACGUG